RNAcentral lists this ribosomal RNA (253 nucleotides) under uncultured bacterium. RNAcentral describes it as "partial 16S ribosomal RNA". It matches the Rfam family "Bacterial small subunit ribosomal RNA", at positions 524 to 776 of the family's 1533-position model. The record is from RNAcentral.
UACAGAGGGUGCAAGCGUUGUUCGGAAUUACUGGGCGUAAAGCGCGUGUAGGCGGCUUAUUAAGUCGAACGUGAAAUCCCUUGGCUCAACCAAGGAACUGCGUCCGAUACUGGCAAGCUAGAGUGUCGGAGGGGGUGGCGGAAUUCCCGGUGUAGAGGUGAAAUUCGUAGAUAUCGGGAGGAACACCUGUGGCGAAGGCGGCCACCUGGAAGACAACUGACGCUGAGACGCGAAAGCGUGGGGAGCAAACAGG